Molecule: long non-coding RNA, 302 nt
Organism: Homo sapiens (human)
Lineage: Eukaryota; Metazoa; Chordata; Mammalia; Primates; Hominidae
Exons: 2
Source: RefSeq, a predicted model, not a curated record
AUACAAGAUGUAUACAGAAAAUUACAUUAAAUACCUGUCUCCAGCCUGCUUCAUGUAUUUCUGCAAUGACUAAAGAUGCAUGUUCAGUUUUGGAGGAAUCUUGGGCAACCUUCAGAAAAGAAGAGCGGCAUUGAAUUAAAUGGACUAUAAAAGGAAAUCUUUCAGCUGAAGUAUUCUGACAGCAGCAUAUUCUUGCCAACCAGGUCGUUCCAAAUGUGUAUCUGACCAUUAUUUUAAAUUAGAAGAUAUACCACUGUCAAACCAUAUCAGCCAAGAAUAAAAAGUGACAUAAUAAUGUUAAA